Molecule: long non-coding RNA, 4858 nt
Filed under: Homo sapiens (human)
Lineage: Eukaryota; Metazoa; Chordata; Mammalia; Primates; Hominidae
Description: HSALNT0212343
Source: RNAcentral
GAAGGAUUCUGAUUGGUCCUGCUUCAGUCACAUGCUUGCAUCUUAGUCCAAUCACUGUGGCCUGGAGGAUGGGACACCAUGAUUUGCAAGACUCUGGUCACAUGCCCACACCUGUGGCUUCUGAAGCAGAGCACCAGCAGUGACAGUCCCACCAGAACCGCAUGGAAUAGAAAACUGUGCAUUUCCCUAAGGAAAGGGAAUGCCAGAGAAGGGCAGAAGGGAAAUCAGGAAGACAAAACGGUAAAUUACCUACCACAAAUCCAAUUCAUUGGUAUUUUUCCACUUACACUUAACCAAGCAACGAUUUCUCCUGGUCCCAUAAUGGAAAAGAGGGUUUAUCUAGAUUCAUAUAUACAAGACUGAAGAGUGAAGAGAGACCCAGAGAAUGUUCUAAAAUCUGCCAGUUAGCAUAAUCACACAGAGAAAUCUCUGCUUCCAGAGGAGGAGCCAAGUUCAAGUCAGAGUGUCUUCAUGUUGGAGUGGACCUUUCCUCUAUCUGUCAACAGAAUGGAUAAAUUGUGGAAGAGUAAUAUCAGAAUACUACACAUCAGUAAAAAACAACAAACUUCUGCUACAAACAAUCAACAUCGAUGAAUCUUUCAGGCAAAAGGGCAAAGAAAAGUAUUGGUCUUCCAAAACAAAUAGAGGACGGAGCUGCUGCUGUUGCAUGGUGUCUAGAAACUCAGACAACUUCAUCAUUCCAUAUUUGCAUCCAAGAGAGAGAAAGAAAAACUACAAUCAUUUUCCAUUUACCCAUCAACCCAUCAACCUCCAAAUAAAGGCUAUUAAAAAACAAUCAAAGUGUGAAGAGGGCAGAAAAUGUGAUGAAGAGAUUCUUUGGAGAAAGUAGCUGCCACUGUUACCUUGGGAUCUGCCUAUAGUCCUCACAGAGCUUGCCCUUGCAGGAUAGAACAUAGGAGUCUGGGAGUCUGCAAGAAGAGACAGGGUCUCACUAUGUUGCCCCAGUUGGCCUUGAACUGCUGGACUCAAGGGAUCCUCCUGCCUCAGCAUCCUGAGUAGCUGGGUCUACAGGCAUGAACCACCAGGCCCAGAACCCUGUCUUUUGAAAGCCAUAUGCGAUCUGUCUGCCCUGAAGUGACUACUUCAUCUCCAACCAGCCCUUGGCUGGCAAAGUCAGGAAGACUCCAGUCUUUCCUGAAGACCAGGGGAGAGUUUAUAACUCUAGCAUCAAAGUCAGCAGCUGUUCAUCUAGAAGACAACUUCCCAAAAGUCAAUGUCUUUGCCUGAAGCUUUUCUUCCCAGAUCUCCUAUGGUGAAACAACCAAAGGGAAGAAGAAUGUGGGCAGCCCUCAGUAAGACAGGAGAUGAGCAUCAACAUUGACCCAUUCUUUCUUCCAGUCCUCGAUGCUUACCUUGUACAUUCUUCUUUGUCUUCCGACUCAGUGCCUUUAGGGUAUGGACGUUGCCUGGUCCCACACAAGCCAAGCAUCAAAUGGAUGGCUCAACAAGGAGGCCAAGACCAGCUAAUGUUUAGUGAGCACCCAAAGGGGCCACACUGGAGAGAACAGCACAGCUCCGUCUGAGAAACAGCUGUUCCUUCCUGCCUGAGAGGCAGAGUGAUAGAAGAUAUCACAGAAUGUUGCUGCUUUGUCUUCCACCCUGAACCCUCCACGACCUCCCUGUAGCUUCCUGAUUUUAAGUAGACAUCAAAUGAUUCUUAAUCCUUUCUGGGUCUUGGAACGAUUUGAAAAUUGUCAACAGUACUGGGAUUCCCAGAAUAAUGCACAUAUGUACAUACUCAGAUAUUCCCCAAGCCCUGGAUAUAAUUUUAAGGGAGUUCACAGACCACACUCCCCCACCCAUCUGUGGACCCAGAUUCUGUGGGUUCGAGAUUCAGAAGCCCUGUUUCUAGGCAGGCCCUCUGUUGCUAACGCCCCUCGAGAACAUCACCCUAGAUGAUUAUCCCUUCUUCCUCCACUCCUUCCCACCUUCUCCAACUGCUGGGUUUCAGCACAAAGAUUGCUUGCCAGUUAAACUGGCACCAUGGACCGCACAGUAGUUGUUUCUUGGGUCUAGAGGAAACAGCCAGAUUCCUUUAAGUAAAUCAUGUCUUAGUUAUUGAUUGUCUCCACUUGAAGUUUUUGACAAUCUCUGAUUAAAUCAUAAACCACUGCAUCCUCCAUCUCCUGCUUCAGUCUCUCAAACCAAAUGUCAGUUUCUUUGUAGCCCUUCAAUUCAAAGUUUGCAAAUUCUGGAUCUAGGCUUCAUUCUUUCACUCAUUUAAGCACUAACAUCUAUUGCAUAACUAUUAAAUGCCAGGCACUGUUCUAGGCAUCAGGGACAUAAUAAUGUACAAAACAGCCUUCAUGUUAAUUUACUUAUUCUCUUCCAAAAUGCUAAUUCUAACCAGUGCUGCUUUAAAAACCAUUAUAAUUAUUACAAUAACUGCCUAAGUUAUAAGCUCUAUUCUAAAUAGUUAAUAUGUAUUAUUAUUUUUCAGAAAACUCUAUGAGGUAGGUAUUAUUAUUAUCAUUCUUAUUUUACAGAAGUGAAAAUCAUAAAGGUUAAGUAAUUUGCCCCAGCUAGAGAGGGACAAAGACAAGAUGUAACAUGAGGCAGUUUGACUAAAUUACUUACUGCUAAAUUCAGCAUCCCUGAUUAUGGUUACAAAGCAAGAUUAGAUUCUUUAGCACUGUUGAAAUGUGAACAGAUGUAUUACAAAAAAAAUUGUCUAGCAAUGUGCAUAUAUUUAAGUAGCCCCGAGGGUUAUCUGUGGUUGCCAAGAGGCUCAAAGUCAGCAUGAAUAUAAUCAGGAGGCACUGAUGACUUUGUUACCCAGAGAUGGUUUGGGGAUCCGUCAGGAGUAUCAUGCACAUGGACAGGAAUGUGAGGCAGAGGAUUACUGGAGUUGAGCUGGCAGUCAAGGGACAAACAAGCCAAAAGUUAUAAAAAACAUAUUUUAAAAUUAUAUAUUUUUAAAUAAUCGUGAUGGACAGAAGAAAUUGUAAUCCUGAGGCAAUAACUGAGAAAGUAUUGAGUAGGUAAUAAAAGGCCUGAGUAGGCUGAAAUAAAUGUUUUAAAAUAGCAGUUUCCUGUAUCCAUGGCUUCUAAAGACCUCCGUUAGUGCGAAUAGUAACUCAAAUGAAAUUUAGAACCAAGAAUAAUUGAGAGGGGUAGCUCACAGGCAGGAGUGAAUUGUGUUUUGCAGGAUUUGAAGAUUAUACAAUUUGGAUGACUCUUCUUUAAAAAAUUACUAAUACCAAAUUAGAUCUAGGGCCUUGGGAAGGGCCUGGAAGCAUAAGCUACAUUACCUUUAUAGCAAACCCAGCUUGGACUCAUGGAGAAGGUUGCUAAGAAACACAUACAUUGCUAGAUCAGGACAGUGGUGAUUCUGAUAAGGCUGAAUGCCCAAUUUGGAGAACUUUGUGAUCCAGAGAACAGUGAUUUGAAGGCACUUUGACAUGAAGAUGCAACACAACAGUGGAUGUGGUUUGAAGGAGGGCUUUGGCAAUCCAAACAACUGAAAGAGACAUCCUGUGUAAAUUUUAAUGAGAUAUCAAUUUUUGCCAUUCAAUUUCUCAAUUUUAAAAAAUUAUACUGCUGAGCCAGCCUCCAGCUAACUUAUACAGUACCUAUGUACCAUUUACAAAAAUAUGUCUAUUUAGGCUGACAAGGUGGAAAGACAAACCCCUUCUGGGCAGGUGGGGUGGUAUUGUAUGACAAUCUGGUGGAGCUUUCAGGCAAGCAUUUCUUUCUUUCAAAGCAUUUCUUUCUUUCUCUGUGGUGUCGCACUUGCAGGGAGCAAGGCUGGGCAAGGGAACUGCUGAGUGAAUUUCAGCCCUAAUUCAUCCUCUCAGCUAGGUACCUUUGCACAGUGUCCAAACUGUACAACCAAACAAGGCAGUCCUGUACCUACAGGUGUAGUGAUUUUAACAGCAUGACUAAAGGAACCUAAAAAUGUGCAAUCCUCUGGCCCAGAAAGUCCACUUCUUGGAAUUUAUUCUAAGAAAAUUAUCAGGGAAAAGUACAAGUACAAAUAUUUAUAUAGAACACUUCUAGAAAGUGUUUAUAUAAAGAAAAAUUGAAAACAACUUGUAUGUCCAAUAAUACAACAUGGAUAAAUUAACUUGUGACUCAGCCUAACAAUAGAAUACUGACCAUCCAUUAAAUGAAUUUUAAAUGGCAAGAGGAAAUGUUCAUGACAUAAUUAUAAAUUAAAAACCAAGAAAGGAAACUAUGCAGACUAUAAAAAUAUGUGUGUUUGUUAAAAAAGACCAGAAAACACCAAACUAUUAAUAUUAAAAGUAGUUAUCUAUGGAGCAUUAUCUGUGGAUUACAGGCAAUUUUAUUUUCUUAUUCAUAUUUUUCCAUAUUAAAAUUUUUUUACCUUGUAAAUGUCAUACUCUUACCUUUAUUGCAAACAUAUUUUAAAGUCGUAUCCAGACUUGAAGGGCAGAGACAAAAUUGGAGCAGUGAGUGAAUGUUGCCUUGACCUCAUGGGUGUAGUGUUUGCAUCUCAUUGAUUUCCACUUUGCAUCAAGUCCCAUGCCUCUGGUGGCUCGGGUGUGCCUUGCUUCAUUACCCUCUGUCCCAUAGUGAUGGAUGGUCAUCGGAGGAAUGCGAUAUCUCCCUAUGACUAUCCCUACUUUUCAAAGCCCCAGGAGUAUCUCCAUGUACUUCAGCACUAUGACAAAACAGCUUCGGGUCACUAAAGACACUUAUCCAGAAGCCACCAUAGAAGGUGAAGAUAAUGUGAGUCAGACUAGAGCAGCUAAUUGACUUAGCUAUUGACUUUCAGAUUUAUGGGACACCACUGCUGAGUAAUUAAAUUUACUGAGCUAUUUCAACAAGAUAUUAACUUUAAGUAAUCCUCACUAAACAUAAAUUGAGAGCUGGA